CAACUGAAGAGUUUGAUCAUGGCUCAGAUUGAACGUUGGCGGCAGGCCUAAUACAUGCAAGUCGAACGAGAAAGUCCCUUCGGGGACGAGUAGAGUGGCGGACGGGUGAGUAACGCGUAGGAAUCCACCCACUAGUGGGGGAUAACCCGAGGAAACUCGGGCUAAUACCGCAUGUGACCUCCGGUUUCGACCGGGGAUGAAAGCGGGGGCUCGGCGCGCCGGCGCAAGUCGGUGUCAAGACCUCGCGCUAGUGGACGAGCCUGCGUUGGAUUAGCUUGUUGGUGAGGUAAUGGCUCACCAAGGCUACGAUCCAUAGCUGGUCUGAGAGGACGAUCAGCCA
RNAcentral lists this ribosomal RNA (340 nucleotides) under Gammaproteobacteria bacterium. RNAcentral's name for it is "bacterial SSU rRNA". It matches the Rfam family "Bacterial small subunit ribosomal RNA", at positions 1 to 310 of the family's 1533-position model. Lineage: Bacteria; Pseudomonadati; Pseudomonadota; Gammaproteobacteria. The record is from RNAcentral.